UUUUUUGUUUUCCUUCCAAGUGUUGCUGUUAACACAUUGAAUAUGUCGCUCUGUAUGGAAGUGGCUGUAUUCUGUUUGGCGCUUUACAAGCUUGUGUUUGAAAGACUACUUGUUAAUGUGUUAUAAUAAUCUUAUCUUUUAGACCCAAGGUAAUUCUUGUGUUUGUUUUUUAUGUGUGUUUUUUGUUUUUACUGUUUUUUACUUUAUAUAUAACAAAGUUUGCCAUUUUAACCCUUUGUAAGUGUGCAGUUCAGUGGCAUUAAUUAUUACAUUCACAGUGUUGUACAGCAAUUACCACUGUCUAUUUCCAAAAUUUUCCAUCACUCCAGACGGAAACUUUGUACUCAUUAAGAUAUAACCCCCCGUUUUCCCUUUUGCCCAGCUCUUGGUAACCUCUUAUGUACAUUUUCUCUCUAUGAAUUUGCUUAUUCUAGAUAUUUCACGUAAGUGGAGUCACACCACAUUUGUGUUUUGGUGCCUAGCUUAUUUCACAUAGCAUAAAUGUUUUCAAGGUUCAUCCAUGUUGCACCGUGUAUCAGAACUUCAUUUGUUUUCAUGGCUGAAUAAUACUGUUGUAUGAAUAUACAACAUUUGUUUAUCCAUUCAUCUGUUGAUGGACACUGGGUUUUUUCCCACCAUUUGGCUGUUGUGAGUAUUGCUAUGAACAUUGGUAUAUAAGCAUCUGGUUGAGCCCUUGUUUUCAAUUCUUGAGUUUAUAUACCUAGGAGUGGAAUUGUUGGGUAAUUUAGUGAUUUUAUGUUUAACUUUUUGAAGAACCACCAGUUUUUGAGUGACCACACCAUUUUACAUACCCAGUAGUAAUGGAUGAGGUCCAAUUUCUCCUCAUCCUCACUUUUUUUUUUCUUUCCCAUUACAUUCAUUUUAAUGGCCGUGAAGUGGUGUCUCAUUGUGGUCUUGAUUUGUAUUUCCCUAAUGACUAAGGACAUUGAGCACCUUUUUAUGUGUUUAUUGGCCAUUUCUGCUUUAGAGAAAUGUCUGUUCAUGUCUUUUGCCCAUUUUUAAAUUGGGUUGUAGCCUUUUUGUUAAGUUGGAGUUGUUCUUUAUGUAUUGUAGAUAUUAGACCCUUAUGAGGUAUAUGAUUUGUAAUUACUUUCUUCUGUGGAUUGUCUUCACUUUCUUAGUGGUAUCCUUUAUACAAGUUUUUAAUUUUAAUGAAGUCCAGUUUGUUUUUUCUUUUGUUGCUGCUGUUCUUGGUGGCAUAUUUAAGUUGCUGUUGGUAAAUCCAAAAUCAUGAAUAUUUUCCCAUUUUUUUUUACGAAUGUUACAGUUUUAGCACUUAUAUUUAGGGCCUUGACCCAUUUGAAUUAUUUUGUACAUAGUGUAAAGUGAGGGCUCAACCUCAUUCUUUUGCAUGUGAGUAUCUAGUUUUCCUGGGGCCACUUGUUGAGAAGACUGUCCUUUUUCUACUGGAUGGUCUUGGCACCCUUAUUGAAAAUCAGCUGACCGUAGGUGUGAGGGUUUAUUUGGGGACUCUCAAGUCCAUUCUCUUAGUCUACAUCUCUGUCCUUCUGCCAGUACCACAAUGUUUUAAUUACUUGUAGCUUUGUAAGUUUUGAAAUCAAGAACUGCGAGUCCUUCACCUUUGUUUUUCUUUUUUUUCAAGAUUGUUUUGGAUAUUCAAGGUCCCUUGAAAUUCCAUCUAAACUCGGGAUGGGAUUUUCUGUUUCUAGGGGAAAAAAGUUCCUUUGGGAUUGCAAUAGGAGUUGAAUCUGUGGAUUAUUUUGGGUAGUGAUGUAAUCCUAAUAACACUAUUAAGUGUUCCAAUCUAUGAACAAGGGAUAUCUUUAGUUUCUUGAUAUUAUUUGCAGUUAAAAGAAUAACUGGUAAUUUAGUUUUUCCUUUUCAGUUUUCCUAUCAAUACAGAAUGACUGAUAGAACUUUAGAUUUAAAAGAUCAGAGGACCACUUUUCAAACCCACUCCUUUCCAUCCAUUUCAACCUCAUUGCCUGGUAACCUGACAAACGCUGUCUGCAUCCCGUCCCAUUGAGCUGACUCUCCAGCGCUGCUUCAGAGCGACAGUUGCACACAUCUGCUUCCCUUCGCACGUGGGGGAACAGCCUCUUCAUAAUUUCCCAUCAAAUAUGUAUUCAUAACCAGGGUGGGCUCCUGAUCCCACAUUCCAUGUCAGGUUGCAGGCAGCAAGGACAGCACCGACCUCGGUGAGGGGGAAAGCCACAUCCCCCCAACGCACCCCAAGGGGCAGUUCCAGCAGAAGCAGAAGCUCAGGUCCCAGACUACUCCCGCCAUCACCACUGCCAGAUUGAUGUUUUGAGGCUGCAGAAGCUUCCAGGGCAAGCAGUCUGGGGCAGGACUGUGGCCAGCCUGUGCAAAGGAAUUCUUCCCAAGGCACCAGCUACCUCUGGUCCAAUGAGAGUCUCCCUUGGUCAUUUCACGCUAACGGGACCAAUAGCACUGAGACAGUGGGUCACCCUUGCAUUUCCCUCGGUGCCAUCUGCUGCCCAGACAGUUCCAGGGUUACUUACAAAGCAGGUGUGUCCAUGCGUCUGUUUAAAUAUGUAUACACACUCCCACUGAAGGAGUCUGUGUAAAUAAUCCCAUAUAGCAGAUAAGUUAAACAUAUGUCUGUUAAGUAUUGAGACUUUUUAAAAAUUACAUACAGUACAGGGUAAUGAAGAGAUGCCUGUGCAACUGAAUCUACCGUCUUCAUUUUGAUGUUGUGAAGGGUAAUAUGUUCACUAUAGGUUUAUUGAAUGAAUGACUCUCACUGUGGAGGGAACUGAGGUAGGAGGCCAGAGGCUUCCCCCCAUUACAGACACAAUUUUCCACGGCUAAUGCCCAGCGUAGUUAAAGCUCCCUGUGAUGAGUCCCACUCGCAUUAUUUGCAUGUCCAUUUUUGCCGGCAUUUUAAAAUGGAGAACUCCCAGACAGACACUGGGGGCCAUAUGCAACCCACUACAGCCUCACAUGUCCUGUGGAAGCCUAAUGAACUGUAAUUUCUCUUAUCCACGUCCCCAGCAAGUGUCUGUCGUGAGUGUCGUCGGCUCUGGCCCAGCACCCCAGCUCUGAUGUGAGGUCACACAUGGGGCCUUCCUGUGCUCAGACUUCGUACCACAGCCCUCCAGAGCUGCUCUCCACCCAGGGCGGCUCCCAGCCUCCGGAGGUGCCGGACCAGCAGUGGGUUCCCCACCAGUAGGACCAUGGCUCCUUUGAUUCUCUGCCAUUUCAGGGCUCCCAGGAACAGCGGGACUCUGGCUGUCUGAUUUCACAACUUCCCUACCUUGUUCUCAAAACUGGGAAAUGUCCGCAGCUCAUUUGGCAAGCAGGAAAGGUGGUGCAGAAGAUUCUUCCUAACAGCCUGGCCUUUUUUCUGAACCCAGCACUGGCAGCAGGGCUGGGUACAGAGGACAGAGCAACAGAUCUUUCCAUAAAUUCCUACUUGACCUUGUCACAAGGGCUGCCACUGGGAUUAAAAGGAGCGGUUCCAGAAUCCCAGCCUGAGUUCAGAUGCCACCCCGUCUCUUAUCAGCUGUGUGCCUCAGUUUCCUCGCGUAAAAUAGGGACUGACCUACCACCCACCUCACAGGGCUGAACACGUAGUCCACAUAAAGCUUAGCAGAAUGCCCAUUACAGCCACACACGAGCCCACAGUAUGUACCAGCUCUUAGUACUGUUGUUUUUACACUCCCAUUUAAGCAAAAAUACAACGUAAAAGCCACCCACUAUCAGCUCUAGCGACAACGGAAUGGUCAGAGUUAAACCUCUUAGAAGGCGGUGCUUGUUCCCCUUGCUUUACCCACAGGUCUGGGUGGCCAGCUGGGCCGCAUGGCUGAGAGAAUCACAUCUGGUUUGCAUAUCUGUACCAAGGAGGGGAAACGCGACAUUCUGUUGGGUGCAGACAAGAAGUAGACGCACGGCUUCAGUCUGUCACGCCUCGCGUGGCCAGCAUUUGACAUCCACCAUGAAGAAAACCUCACAGGUGCCAAUUAAUUCAGGACUUGGGGGGAGGCCUGAGGGAGGCAGCAGAUGCGAGCCAUCGCGGAAUCCAAGUGCCCCACUCAGAAGGCUUCAGCAGAGAUGCCACAUGUCUAGCCCGACAACUGGUGCAGGCGCUAACCAGACACCCCAACUGAUCUGCACUGCUCUCUGCUGCCUCUCAGAGCCGGAAACGCACUGCCCAGGCAGGAGGGACCAGCCCAGCUCCGCGGUGUCUGCUGUUUGCUGGGCCCCAGGGGAGGGUGAUGUGGGCAGCUGGCCCUGAGCGCCUGUCACUGAGAGUCUGGGGGGGAUGAGGAAGUGGGAAGGAUUUAUUUAUUCAUCUGGCCACAGUAGAUACCCUACGUACAUGAAAGGAACCCAUGGCCAGAAAUGGCAAAAGAAAGAAGGAAGCAUUUAUGAGGGCCUUCCAUGCGCUGUACACACAUACCCACCUUGCAAGAUGGACACUGUGAUCCUAUUUUAAAGAUGAAGUUGAGGCUCUUGGUGGGAAGUCAGGUUAUACCCAGUUUGCCACCCACAGGGGUGGGUUAAAUACUGGGUGGAAAACCACAUAGCUCUUUUGGAGAGCGAUACAUCAUUAACAUUUUCCCAUGUCUUUAAAUUAAAAUUAGGGGAGAAAAGCAGCAUGCCUGGAUGCUUCCGUUCUAACGAAAUAAUUACAUGUAUCAAAUAAAAGGAGAAAGAACAAUCUUGAAAGAUGUGUAAUAAAAUUUGACAGAGGUAGGAUCACCAUUAAUUUGCAAUUUUUUUGCUUAUCUAAAGUUCACAUUAAAAAAAAUGUUUAAUAUGUUACUUGUCAAAUUAAGAGAACGAAGCAGACUCUAAAAAGCUUACGAACCCGAGGUCACGCAGCUUGUAGCUGGAGGAGCCAAAGUUUGAACCCAUUUCUACCCAGAGCCACACCCUCGCCCUUUCAGAAAGAAGGUGCUGUUGGCUCAGAGGCUGCUGCUCAAGUCCGCCUGCCAGGACCACAGAGCUCUGCAUUCCAGAGGAAUCUCAGGGUAACUACAUGUCUGGGAAAAGCAGCUCUGUGCUCAGGGCGCCCAGGCCUUGCUCAGAAACAGGUAUUUCCAGCUCCUCCGGAGGAAGGCCGGCCUUCGUGAGACUACUCUUUAACUACAAACAGAGGCACCUCCCCUCCACCCCCAGGGAAGAGGAAGUGCCUGCUCUGAGGGACACCUUGCAGGAGGCACCCAGCACCCAGUGGUCCCACAGCAGCAGCGUGCAUAUCAGAAGCCCACCUCAAAGUGAGUGACACCAAGAGCCCAAGAGCGACAGGAAAACCACAGGAGGCUGGUGUCCAGAUACAUGGCCCAGUUGUGGCCCCUGCCCACAGCAGAAGUGCUCGUAGGGAGCACACAGCACACCAACCAACCCCACCAGGUACGGACAGGCCUGAGCAGAGCUGUUCACACAAGUUGACAGGCCAGAGCCCUGCAGAUGGAACCAGCCCUGGGAUGAACUGACCUGGGUUCGAAUCCUAGCUUCACUGCUUACUAUGACCUUGAAAAGAUUUUUGAACUUCUGCAGAACCCAGUUGGCUCACCUGGAUUCAAUGAAUUAGAAUCAUGGUUAAUACAAAAUGUGGAUUUUCUCAAAGCAUCACUGCCACGUGAAUGUAGGACAAUGAAUUUUAAAGUCUUCCUAACAUGAUAAAGAAUGGUGGUGUCUUUGAAAAACUUACAGACAAAAAAGUUAAGAAGCCGCAAGAAACUGUAUUAGCCAUUUGCUUUCCCAAGAUUAGACGUUUCAUUCAUUCCUAAAAGGGGAAUAAAAAUAUCUCACGGGGCAGUUUUUUCUAAAAGACCAGUGUAUGCCAGUACCUCACACACAGAAGUCCCCAAAGCAUGACCUCUCACCCCCGGGAAUUUUGCCUCGCAAGCAGUGAUCUAACUGAAUAGCAUCCUCGUUACAUCACACACUGUCUUCUCAUCUUAUUCUGCCUUCACGUAAUCAGACUUCCUUAUAUGGGUACUUCGCUUUACAGUCUACAGAAGGCUUACGCAGUAUCUAACAUAAGCAUCAUGACGCUUUGAAGCCCAUUUCACAGAUGAGGGGUCUGGGGCUCUGAGCUGAGUUCACAACCAGUACGCAGCAGAGGCGAGUCUCCAGGUCCUGCGGCUCCUCAGCCAACACCCUGCUUUCAGCUCCCGGCUUUGGGUUCCCAUCCAGACCACAGUCUGACUCACUCUUUCCCGACACAGAACCUGACUGUCCUCUCUCCAAAAUCAGAACAAGUCCUCACUGUAGCAGCCAUGCUCGAAGUUCCUCCUCUGUAACAGGGAGACAUUCUUUCAACAAACAUUGACAAUGCAUUCAUAUGGAAACCUCCUUGCUGUGCUCUGAGGAACAGGAAAGGAAGUGAAGCUGGCCUCCUUCCUUGUCCUCCAAGCAUCUGACAGCUGCUUGGAUGGCAGGGGCCGACUCUGCCACCGCACUCCCUGCCGUCUGAACUGGGGGAAGGCAUGGGGGACACAGUAGCUGCUGGAUGGAUUGGGCUCUGCUAGAAAUCUGUUGUGGGCAGGCCUGCUCACACCUGCUGCCCUCGGAGCAGCUAUGAAAGGGCCCCUUGGACCCAUCAGCCUGAGCUGCUCUCACUGCCACGGUCCCUCCCCUAAGAAGAGAGCUGAACAGUGUUCCCCCCACCAUCCCCCUCACCGAAUUCACAGCUACCCAGAACCUCAAAAUGAGACCUUAUUUGGAAAUAGGGUCUUUGCACACAGAAUCAGUUAAGGAUGUUGAGAUGGAAUCAUUCUGGAGUUAGGGUGGGCACUAAACUCAAUGCCCAGCAUCCCUAUAAGAAAAAGGAAAACCCAGAGUUCACACAAGGAAGAAGGCCAUGGGAAGACAGGGGCAGAGACUGCAGUGAUGCAGCUACGUGUAAGUCAAGGAACCAAGGAAUUCCGGGAGCCACCAGAAGCUGGAAAAGACAAGGAAAGCUUCUCCCCUGGAGCCUUCAGAGGGAGCACGGCCUUGAUUUCAGACGUCUGGCCUCCAGAACUUGUGGAGAAUACAUUUCUGUUGUUCUGAGCCACCAAAGUGUGUGCUAAUUUGUUACAGCAGCGCUGGGAGACGUCCUCCCCUUUCUUAAUGUCUCCAUCCAUCGGGGCUGGGAGGCAUGUGGCCUGUCCUCUCCCAGUGCUCAGCCGGCCCUCACGCUGUCACGCGGCUGUGGGCACUGAGGUGGGUGCAGCCUGGGCCGUCCUUGGUCUAAAACUUAAGCUUGAAGCGCACACACACACAUACACGCGCACACCCACCCCCACUUCCAACUUCUAAGAAUAACAUGCUGCCAAUAUAGGGCUCCAACUCCGCCUCAGAAUUGGCCGACUCCUGGGGGAGGUUUCCUUGUGGUUUGGGUUGCGAUCUCUUUAUUCUCUGGCACUGCUAAGCUGCCGUGUGAACCGUCUACUCGGCUGGCCUGGGAUGGGAGGGCUCCUGCCUGCUGCCCGAGGACCCCGCUACCCGGACCCGGGAGGCCCAGACUGGAUGAAGUCAAGAGCAUUUCCCCACCCCUCUGGACUCCCUGCUGCUUCUCACUGGACCAGGAGUCCUGUCUCCCCAUGGCUCUCUUUCAACAUUCUAGGGUAUUUUUAUUAAAGCCCUCUGGAGUGUUAAUAGAAUAAAAUGUAAAGCUGCUCCCUACUUUUUCUGUGAGCGGGGGAGUUGCUAGCAGUGACCUUCCUGCUUUGAGCGGUGCCUCCAGAGCUGGUAGAUGUCCAGGGAGUCGGGGACCACAGCAGGUCUGGGAGCACGUUCUUAUCCUGGCUUUGCCACAAAUUUUCUUGAAAAUUCACUUCCCCUCUGGGGUCCUCCCAUGAUAAAGGAGGGGCAGGCAGGGCAGGAAGGUUUGUUAGGUCCUUCCCAGGGCUGACGUUCCAAGAGGAUGAUCUCCUGUGCUGCAGAGAAGCACGUUCCCCCGUUCCUGUGCUCCUUCAUCCUCCCCCCGUCCACAGGGCACACCCGGUCCCAGCGCUGCGGAGACACUGGCAUGAAGCAGAGGGCCAGCUCCCGGGCAGUGAGGCAGACCCAGUGACGGCAGGACAGAGCAGAGCGGGCGUCACAGGUGCAGGCGUUGGCUGGAGGAGGUGAAGCAGAGAGGAGCUCCAGGAUGACCUGAAGGGCAGAGGGCGUGCCCAGGCAGCGAUGAGGUCUGCGUAGACGCUGGGUGAGGGUGGUGGGGCUGGGAUAGAGCAGGGCAGGCAGUGGUGUGUGGGCCAGAUGGUGGAGGGAGGCAGCAGGGAUCUGGGGAGGCACCAGGCAGACAGGUGCUGUGCUCCCAUCUGGCCUUCUUGACGAAGCAUCAUCUGGACACACAGGAAGUGUAGGGUGUUCUGGGGCCUCCAGGACCACCACCUCAUCUUUUCAGUUGGCUCAGAAAACUGCUAGCAGUUUUUCCAUUGUUAUUUUGAACCACAAACACUGGGGUCUGGUCUCCUCUCUAUCUGCCCUGGGGCAACAAUCAGCAAAAUCAAGAACACAGGAUCCGAGCCUGGACCCCCGGCUUUGCCACAAUGUGAUCCUCCAGCUUCGGCGCCCUGAGCGUGGGCCCUGGGGUCAAGACUCAGAGGCAGAAAGUCCUGCUGUUUCCCAGCUUCAUCUUGAGUCUGUUACUUAACUUCUCAGAGACUCAGUCUCCCUACCUCUAAAAUGGGCCCAACCACCAACUGGGCCAAUAGGCAUUUCACCUGUUUUAAGACGAGUUGAUAAAUGUUGAAAUAUCUAGCACAGGGCCCGGCUUAGGGCAGAUGCUCCAUACACAUGAGCUCCCCCUCCUCCUGUCACAAGUUUGGGGCAGGAACCGAGAUAGGCAGGAGACGGGGAGGAGGCCGCACAGAGGAGCAGCUGGGCCCAGUGGGUGGAUGGUGGGUGGUAGGCGGCAUGAUGUGAACGUUAGGGCUUCUGUCAGUUGGUCGAUGCAACCACGAAAUUUUCCUGCAGCCAGAAUCCCAGAAGCAGGAAUGCUCCUGCCGGCGAACCGGUGUGGGCUUGGGCAGCAAACAGCCUGACGUAAGUGGAUUUGGCCGGGUUGCCGAGCACAGCAGCCUCAUCAACACAGCGCUUAAGUUACUCCCAAGACUCUGUGCGUUUCUUAGCAACGGCCCUAUUUGGGGGAACACUGAGUGCCACAGGGAAGCUGGCCUGGAAACUUGUACCAGACAGGCAGCACCCCCGAUCAAUAUGCAGGGUCCCCCCUGGGGCCUGGCUCCCUCCCGGGGCAAGGUGGCCAGCCUGGAGGACCUCCACGGGGCCAGCAGCUACCCCGCAGGCCUCCAGGCGGCCCCCAGGCAAAGCCCAGUCGCCAUCUGUUGUACUUCAAACCAUCUGAGCAGCUGACAGGACACGAAAGAGAAAAAGACACCCGACAAAACACGCCAGGCCCUCAACACUCAGACUCAAGGCUGAGCACAGAAGGCCCCUCUGAGCUCACAAGACACCCCCACACGGAGUCCAGAUUAGAUGCGUCUUCAGUGGAAUUCCGCAACCUACAAAGGUGUUCUAGAAAGUUCCAGGACACAAAUGCUCGCUGGACUUUUGUUCUGUCUCCACUCUGACAGACAAGACAUCACAUUAUCUUCACGAAACUUAUUUGGGGGAAUUAAAGAGUUCUGCCAGGGCCAGGCUGGCAGGCACCGGCAGUUGAGCUCAGAUUAUGUGUUAUUAAUAUGAACAUCUUCCCGUCACGAUCGCACACUCAAUUUAAAAAGAAUUACCCAAUUAAGUUAGGAAGGUGAUGCCUUCCACUUCCAGGAAUAUGCUGCCAACAACUCUGCCUUGACUGUUCUCCCCUAAACCCCUUCCAAUUAAGUAGACCGUUCAGCACAUCGUGAGGAUAGCCAGGAUGUUGCUGUGGAGACGGCAGGAUUUUUCAUCAUAUCACCAUUUCAAUCUCCUGAUGAGAAGGGAGCUGGCAAAGCUUUCUGCCUCCCCCCAGGAUGCACGUUCACCGCCAACAACAACAAGGACAAAAGCUCUGUUGGACAGAAAAGGAUGAGGGAUUCUGGGAGCUUCCAGGUCUCCUUCUGCAGCAACCCAGAGACUCGUGGCUUCGGCUCCUCUGAGCAGGAGCAGACAGCUGGCCGCUGUGUGUCAGAGGCAGCUCUAGAGAAGGCCGUGCGGGCCCAGACGCUGAGGGUGUGACAGCGCCGGCUCAGCCAGCAGAGAGGCAUCAGUUUGUGCUAACCGGCCACAGAGAUCAGGGCUGUGGGGUCGGGGCAGUGACAUGACUGAUGUCAAGAAGAGUAAGAGGAGACAAAGGUUUUUAUUUCCAAAAUGCAAACCUGACCACGGCACUUCUUGCCGACAGCCCUUGACUGGCUCUCCAUCACCCUCGCCAUGAGUUCCAACCCUUUAGCGUGAUACCACCCCCAACUCACUCCUCCAACCUCGUCUCGCUCUCAUUCCCUAAGUAAACAAUCAAACUCUUUCAUGCCUCCCUGCCUUUGCACAUGCUGUUCCCCUCCUCUGUCUAUCCUUUCCCAACUUUUGGCAGCCUGGUAAACUUGUUCUUAUUUCUCAAGACCUGGGUCAGGUGUCUUGACCUCUUAAACUUCAAGGCUUCCCUUCUGCCUUUGCUUGCCUCCUUGAUUUUCCUGGAAGAUGCUGGACUCACGGCCAAGCCGGCACUUUGCACAAUGUACGCUCUUGCUAAGCCACUCAAGGGGACGGGCUGUAUUUUCAAAGGAAUGGCUGUAACCCCGGCAGAAAAGGCAGAGGUGAAAGAAAAGGGGAGGCCACGUCAACUGGAGACAGAUGUGCAGGUGUAUCUCAGAGACACUGUUAGGUUUGGCUCCAGACCACCGCAAAAAGCGACUAUCACAAUAAAGUGAGUCACACCAAUUUUUUUGGUUUAAUGAUGUAUAUAAAUGUUACAUUUGCACUACACUGUGGUCUGUUAAGUGUGCCACAGAUAAAAACCAUACAUGUUUCAACUAAAAAUUACUUUACCAAUAAAAAAUGCUAACCAUUA
Long non-coding RNA from Camelus dromedarius (Arabian camel), 10948 nucleotides. RefSeq lists it as uncharacterized. NCBI's taxonomy places the organism in Eukaryota, Metazoa, Chordata, Mammalia, Artiodactyla, Camelidae. The transcript has 2 exons. The record is from RefSeq and is a predicted model, not a curated record.